GAUGCGCCAUGCCGCGUGUGUGAAGAAGGCCUUCGGGUUGUAAAGCACUUUCAGUCGUGAGGAAGGUGGUGGUGUUAAUAGCUGUAUCAUUUGACGUUAGCGACAGAAGAAGCACCGGCUAACUCCGUGCCAGCAGCCGCGGUAAUACGGAGGGUGCGAGCGUUAAUCGGAAUUACUGGGCGUAAAGCGCAUGCAGGUGGUUUGUUAAGUCAGAUGUGAAAGCCCGGGGCUCAACCUCGGAAUAGCAUUUGAAACUGGCAGACUAGAGUACUGUAGAGGGGGGUAGAAUUUCAGGUGUAGCGGUGAAAUGCGUAGAGAUCUGAAGGAAUACCGGUGGCGAAGGCGGCCCCCUGGACAGAUACUGACACUCAGAUGCGAAAGCGUGGGGAGCAAACAGGAUUAGAUACCCUGGUAGUCCACGCCGUAAACGAUGUCUACUUGGAGGUUGUGGCCUUGAGCCGUGGCUUUCGGAGCUAACGCGUUAAGUAGACCGCCUGGGGAGUACGGUCGCAAGAUUAAAACUCAAAUGAAUUGACGGGGGCCCGCACAAGCGGUGGAGCAUGUGGUUUAAUUCGAUGCAACGCGAAGAACCUUACCUACUCUUGACAUCCAGAGAACUUUCCAGAGAUGGAUUGGUGCCUUCGGGAACUCUGAGACAGGUGCUGCAUGGCUGUCGUCAGCUCGUGUUGUGAAAUGUUGGGUUAAGUCCCGCAACGAGCGCAACCCUUAUCCUUGUUUGCCAGCACUUCGGGUGGGAACUCCAGGGAGACUGCCGGUGAUAAACCGGAGGAAGGUGGGGACGACGUCAAGUCAUCAUGGCCCUUACGAGUAGGGCUACACACGUGCUACAAUGGCGCAUACAGAGGGCAGCCAACUUGCGAGAGUGAGCGAAUCCCAAAAAGUGCGUCGUAGUCCGGAUCGGAGUCUGCAACUCGACUCCGUGAAGUCGGAAUCGCUAGUAAUCGUGGAUCAGAAUGCCACGGUGAAUACGUUCCCGGGCCUUGGACACACCGCCCGUCACACCAUGGGAGUGGGCUGCAAAAGAAGUAGGUAGUUUAACCUUCGGGAGGACGCUUACCAUUG
RNAcentral lists this ribosomal RNA (1083 nucleotides) under Vibrio sp. 8310M. RNAcentral describes it as "bacterial SSU rRNA". It matches the Rfam family "Bacterial small subunit ribosomal RNA", at positions 385 to 1462 of the family's 1533-position model. The record is from RNAcentral. Lineage: Bacteria; Pseudomonadati; Pseudomonadota; Gammaproteobacteria; Vibrionales; Vibrionaceae.